AUAGCACAUUAUUAAAGCUUACAUCAGGCUGCUGGCUGGCUAAUGAACUCACAAGUAUAGCUAGUGUGCUACAUGAGGGGCAAGUCUUUCACCAACACCACAAGGGUCUCUGGUCCAAUGAGUAGGGGCUUGGUAAUGUCUUGCUACAAGA
Neogale vison (American mink) is the source of this 151-nucleotide small nucleolar RNA. Lineage: Eukaryota; Metazoa; Chordata; Mammalia; Carnivora; Mustelidae. The record is from Ensembl.